AACUAACUCUGGCGGCAGGCUUAACACAUGCAAGUCGAACGCCCCGCAAGGGGAGUGGCGCACGGGUGAGUAACGCGUGGAUAUCUGCCUUUUGGUUCGGAAUAACCCCGGGAAACUGGGGCUAAUACCGGAUGGUUCCUACGGGAUAAAGAUUUAUCGCCAAAAGAUGAGUCCGCGUACGAUUAGCUAGUUGGUGAGGUAAUGGCUCACCAAGGCGACGAUCGUUAGCUGGUCUGAGAGGACGAUCAGCCACACUGGGACUGAGACACGGCCCAGACUCCUACGGGAGGCAGCAGUGGGGAAUAUUGGACAAUGGGGGCAACCCUGAUCCAGCCAUGCCGCGUGAGUGAUGAAGGCCUUCGGGUUGUAAAGCUCUUUUGGCGGGGACGAUGAUGACGGUACCCGCAGAAUAAGCCCCGGCUAACUUCGUG
This 431-nucleotide ribosomal RNA is filed under the name uncultured bacterium. Its description in RNAcentral is "partial 16S ribosomal RNA". It matches the Rfam family "Bacterial small subunit ribosomal RNA", at positions 29 to 507 of the family's 1533-position model. The record is from RNAcentral.